AGAGUUUGAUCAUGGCUCAGAUUGAACGCUGGCGGCAGGCCUAACACAUGCAAGUCGAGCGGCAGCACGGGUACUUGUACCUGGUGGCGAGCGGCGGACGGGUGAGUAAUACCUAGGAAUCUGCCUGGUAGUGGGGGAUAACGUUCGGAAACGGACGCUAAUACCGCAUACGUCCUACGGGAGAAAGCAGGGGACCUUCGGGCCUUGCGCUAUCAGAUGAGCCUAGGUCGGAUUAGCUAGUUGGUGAGGUAAUGGCUCACCAAGGCUACGAUCCGUAACUGGUCUGAGAGGAUGAUCAGUCACACUGGAACUGAGACACGGUCCAGACUCCUACGGGAGGCAGCAGUGGGGAAUAUUGGACAAUGGGCGAAAGCCUGAUCCAGCCAUGCCGCGUGUGUGAAGAAGGUCUUCGGAUUGUAAAGCACUUUAAGUUGGGAGGAAGGGCCGUUACCUAAUACGUGAUGGUUUUGACGUUACCGACAGAAUAAGCACCGGCUAACUCUGUGCCAGCAGCCGCGGUAAUACAGAGGGUGCAAGCGUUAAUCGGAAUUACUGGGCGUAAAGCGCGCGUAGGUGGUUCGUUAAGUUGGAUGUGAAAUCCCCGGGCUCAACCUGGGAACUGCAUUCAAAACUGUCGAGCUAGAGUAUGGUAGAGGGUGGUGGAAUUUCCUGUGUAGCGGUGAAAUGCGUAGAUAUAGGAAGGAACACCAGUGGCGAAGGCGACCACCUGGACUGAUACUGACACUGAGGUGCGAAAGCGUGGGGAGCAAACAGGAUUAGAUACCCUAGUAGUCC
This 795-nucleotide ribosomal RNA is filed under the name uncultured bacterium. RNAcentral describes it as "bacterial SSU rRNA". It matches the Rfam family "Bacterial small subunit ribosomal RNA", at positions 8 to 796 of the family's 1533-position model. The record is from RNAcentral.